RNAcentral lists this ribosomal RNA (332 nucleotides) under uncultured eukaryote. RNAcentral's name for it is "partial 18S ribosomal RNA". It matches the Rfam family "Eukaryotic small subunit ribosomal RNA", at positions 1470 to 1796 of the family's 1831-position model. The record is from RNAcentral.
CCCUUAGAUGUUCUGGGCUGCACGCGCGCUACACUGAUGCGUUCAACAAGUUGGACCUUGUCCGAGAGGAAAUCGGGGGAAUCUUUUGAAAACGUAUCGUGAUGGGGAUAGAUUAUUGUAAUUAUUAAUCUUCAACGAGGAAUUCCUAGUAAGCAUGAAUCAUCAGCUCGUGCUGAUUACGUCCCUGCCCUUUGUACACACCGCCCGUCGCUCCUACCGAUUGAAUGAUUUAGUGAGGACUUCGGACCGGCUGGUGAAGCUGUCUUCGGACGGCAUUGCUGGUUGGGAAGAUGUCCAAACUUGCUCAUUUAGAGGAAGUAAAAGUCGUAACA